This 2864-nucleotide long non-coding RNA is filed under the name Triticum aestivum (bread wheat). RNAcentral's name for it is "long non-coding RNA (TAES_LNC019354)". Lineage: Eukaryota; Viridiplantae; Streptophyta; Magnoliopsida; Poales; Poaceae. The record is from RNAcentral.
UUCAAGUGGGGACUCUCUCCCCCCGGUGACCGUUCAAAAAAAAUUCUAUGUCUUGAAACCAAAUAAGAACCAUACCAAAAAUAUUUAUGAAUUAGUACAACUAAUUGGACUACUUUUGUAUGAGACUGUAAUCAAGAAUGACGAUGGUAGGUGAUCUCAUAUUAUAUUAUAUUCGACUAAUAAAAUAAACAACAUGAACCCUCUCCUGGAGCGGGGGAUGGAAAGACACACGGCCUAGAGGAACUAUAUAAACAACAUGAACCCUCUCCUGCAUCCAUAGCUCUCGUGGCCGCCAUCUCUCACUGCAGUAAUCUCGCUCAUCCUCUUUUCUUUUUUUGGUAGCUGCCCACAGCCACAACACAAUAAAAACUAUCCUUGGGCUAAUGAAAAUAUAAGUGAAUACUGAAUCUUCUCAAUAGUAGAAGAGAGUUCAGUUAUCACCUCAGCUCACCUAGGAAGCAAUAACUUCCAUUUCCAAAAGAAAAAUGACCAGGAAAUGUAAGCCGCUAUUGGUUAGGUACAUGCAAAUGAUUAAUUAUUCAAGACUACUUUGGAAACAAUGCUCUGAGCAAUUAACAGUAAUAAACAGAGAACAAAAAGGAGCAAAACAAAGACAGGUUUUUUAGCUAAAAAAAGGAACCACCAAAUGCAGCGAUAGCAUGUGUGCAUUUUUCUCCAAAUUGCACAUGAGCUUUGACUAUAGGGAAGAGACAAAACUUCCCACGAACAAACGAAUGUCCACAAUAGCUGCAAGUUGCAUCUACUAUCAAAGGAACACUUCGCAUAUCUCAAAUAAAUAGUUAUGAUAACCGUGAUCUCAGGAAGAGUAGGAAGAUGCAUCUUAUACUCUAGAGUUCAGAUAUAUCAAAAAUUCAUUUCAUCAGACCUCUUUGGAGUUAAACUGUUAAAGGGCACUGUUAAACUAAACAGUCGUUCUUAUCCUGUAACAUGCUACUACUUGCACCCCUCUUACUCCUGACACUAUGAACUCCAGUUCAUGUGGCGUACUUUAUGCAUAUACAAACGAUGUAUAAAGCCUGAACAUGGCAAAAACAAUCAAGGGAUUUCCUGAAUAUAUGAUGCUGCAGUAAACCUAUUUUUCUAACUGAAAUUAAACCUACCACUUCCUGCUCACGGAUUUUAGUUCAUUUAUAAACUCUGCAUUCUACUCAUACAAGCAUACCACAUCUAAUAUUCUGCUAUAACCCAGAUUAUUGUUACCUUUCUAAACGCAUAAUUAUUAUCAGUUUAUAAUGGAAAUAAAGUACCCUAAUGCAUCCCCUAUUAAGUGACAUUACGAACUGCAGUGUAUGUGUGUACUUCUAUGCUUAUACACAUGCUAUGAAGCAUGGAACCUGACAAGAUAAAUGCAAAGGAUGCCCAACAGAACUCUUGCUCCAUGACCUUAUUUCUAUUGUGGUUGCAGACUUGGGAGUCCCACUUUGCUGAACCUUUUGUACAUGCUGAUAAAGAAAGAGACAUCAUAACAAUUUAACAAAUAAUCUGUGCAAACACUACCUGGGCACUAUGCAAAGAGACAAAACAAAAAAACAUUAACCAAUUGCCUAGGUGUGCCAACUUGCAGUGUUAUCCUGCAUAUGUCAAUCUCUCUUCUUCUUUUUUGAGAAAGCAUAUGAUAAUCUCAUGUGUUCUAAUUUAGCCAAUACAUGCUAUGUGUGUCAACUUGUAGUGUUAUCCUGCAUAUGCCAAUCUCAUACUACGUUCUAAUUUAGCCAAUACAUGCCAAAGCAUUUCAGUCUCACUUGUUUUAGUUUUGCAUAAAGCAGGCAACUAACACAAUAUUGGCCACCGUCUCUCUCGCUGUAGUAGUCUCGCUUAUCGUCUUCUCUUUUUUCGACAGCUGUCCAUAGCCACAACAACACAAAGAAAACUAUCCUUGAGCUUAUGUGAAUAUAAGCGAAUACUGAAUCUGUUCUACAGUAUAACCUCAGCUGACCUGGGAAGCAACAACAACUCCCAUUUCCAAAAGAAAGAUGACAGGAAACUGAAGCCACUAAUGGUUAGAUAAAUACCUGCAAAUGAUUAAUUGUUCAAGACUACUUUGAGAACAAUCACUCUGAGCAAUUAACAAUAAUAAAAGUCACCAACUUAAUUCUCUAGAAGAAGAACAAACCCGUGCAUACACAUAUCAAUGAGCAAAGAAUGUUCAGCCAUGGCGUAGAUACACGCAGAAAGAAACAAAACCAAGAUAAGAAUAUGAAGGUAAAGAGACCGCAAUGUCACCGUUUGUCACAUGUGUCCUACGAACAAACAAACAGAACUACAGUGGCUAGCACCCUGUAAAAAGAAAAUUCGCAUCAAACCUAGAUGUAAGCACAUGUGACACACACGCACACAAGAAGACAUGAGGAUUAAGGAAUGGAAAAACCACCAGUUGUAAACCCAGGCAUCAACUUGCAGCACGAUCAACACCUGCAAAUAACAAACCGGAGCACCGGAGCAGGCGUCUUAGACAAAUCAUAAAGAAAAGAAAAAAUGAAAAAAAGAAUCAGGGGAAUAAGCAGAGCAACAUGGGACAAAAAGGGGCCACGUACAAAUCGGACGGUCGAAGAGAAUACUGCUUACUUUUCCUGAAACAUCGUUUUUAGGGAACCUCUGUUAGGCAAGCUGCAACCCCUCAAACCACACAUAACUCACCGUCAGAGAACUUAACUUUUAAUCUUCCUGUAAAGGGGAAAACUUACUAUGUCAGUCUCAUACAUAUAGUGACAACAUGUGAACCCCGACAAAAAAUUGCUGUGACAACAUGUAUGCAUUAUUCUCCAAAUGUACAGAUAGGAAAAGGCGGAGUUCAACAGUGCCUUAAUAGCAUUCAUGGACAUCACAGUUCAUUGGUCAGUGCA